GAUGAACGCUGGCGGCGUGCCUAAUACAUGCAAGUCGAGCGAACAGACGAGGAGCUUGCUCCUCUGACGUUAGCGGCGAACGGGUGAGUAACACGUGAGUAACCUGCCCUUGACUUUGGGAUAACUUCAGGAAACUGGGGCUAAUACCGGAUAGGAGCUCCUGCUGCAUGGUGGGGGUUGGAAAGUUUCGGCGGUUGGGGAUGGACUCGCGGCUUAUCAGCUUGUUGGUGGGGUAGUGGCUUACCAAGGCUUUGACGGGUAGCCGGCCUGAGAGGGUGACCGGCCACAUUGGGACUGAGAUACGGCCCAGACUCCUACGGGAGGCAGCAGUGGGGAAUAUUGCACAAUGGGCGGAAGCCUGAUGCAGCAACGCCGCGUGCGGGAUGACGGCCUUCGGGUUGUAAACCGCUUUCGCCUGUGACGAAGCGUGAGUGACGGUAAUGGGUAAAGAAGCACCGGCUAACUACGUG
Molecule: ribosomal RNA, 470 nt
Filed under: uncultured bacterium
Lineage: Bacteria
Description: partial 16S ribosomal RNA
Rfam family: Bacterial small subunit ribosomal RNA
Source: RNAcentral